AGUCGAGGGGUAACGAUGUAGCUUGCUACAGUCGACGACCGGCGCACGGGUGAGUAUCGCGUUUGUAACCUACCUCUAACUGGAGCAUAGCCCGAAGAAAUUCGGAUUAAUACUCCAUAACAAUACGAAAAGGCAUCUUUUUGUAUUUAAAGCUCAGGCGGUUAGAGAUGGGCAUGCGUAACAUUAGCUAGUUGGUGAGGUAACGGCUCACCAAGGCUACGAUGUUUAGGGGGUCUGAGAGGAUGGUCCCCCACACUGGUACUGAGACACGGACCAGACUCCUACGGGAGGCAGCAGUGAGGAAUAUUGGUCAAUGGGCGAAAGCCUGAACCAGCCAUGCCGCGUGAAGGAUGACGGCCCUAUGGGUUGUAAACUUCUUUUAUAGGGGAAGAAACCUGUCUACGUGUAGACAGUUGACGGUACCCUACGAAUAAGCAUCGGCUAACUCCGUGCCAGCAGCCGCGGUAAUACGGAGGAUGCAAGCGUUAUCCGGAUUUAUUGGGUUUAAAGGGUGCGCAGGCGGAAAAUUAAGUCAGUGGUGAAAUCCUGCAGCUCAACUGUAGAACUGUCAUUGAUACUGAUUUUCUUGAAUUUAGUUGAGGUAGGCGGAAUGUGUAAUGUAGCGGUGAAAUGCUUAGAUAUUACACAGAACACCGAUUGCGAAGGCAGCUUACUAAGCUAACAUUGACGCUGAGGCACGAAAGCGUGGGGAGCGAACAGGAUUAGAUACCCUGGUAGUCCACGCCGUAAACGAUGAUUACUCGUUGUUGGCAAUACAUCGUCAGCGACUGAGCGAAAGCAUUAAGUAAUCCACCUGGGGAGUACGAUCGCAAGAUUGAAACUCAAAGGAAUUGACGGGGGCCCGCACAAGCGGAGGAACAUGUGGUUUAAUUCGAUGAUACGCGAGGAACCUUACCUGGGCCUAGAUGCAAACGACGGACCGGGAAACUGGUCUUUCUUCGGACGGCUUGCAGGUGCUGCAU
This 983-nucleotide ribosomal RNA is filed under the name uncultured bacterium. RNAcentral describes it as "bacterial SSU rRNA". It matches the Rfam family "Bacterial small subunit ribosomal RNA", at positions 60 to 1046 of the family's 1533-position model. The record is from RNAcentral.